GCCGAUGUGAUGGAAUUGGCAGACGUAGCGGACUCAAAAUCCGCCGCUGGUGACAGCAUGCCGGUUCGACCCCGGCCAUCGGCACCA
RNAcentral lists this transfer RNA (87 nucleotides) under Candidatus Fimadaptatus faecigallinarum. RNAcentral describes it as "tRNA-Leu". It matches the Rfam family "tRNA". Rfam says of the family: Transfer RNA (tRNA) molecules are approximately 80 nucleotides in length. Their secondary structure includes four short double-helical elements and three loops (D, anti-codon, and T loops). Lineage: Bacteria; Bacillati; Bacillota; Clostridia; Eubacteriales. The record is from RNAcentral.